AUCAUUUUUCCACGUUUUGACCAAGAUCAAGUGUAGUAUCUAUUCUAAUCAAUUUAAUAUCUGAUUUGUUCUCUAAAUGAGAGUGUUAUAUCAAGCAGGUUUUUUAGAGCAAGGAGUUGGGAUAGGGGUUUGCUUUUUCGGCUCCAUAUACCAACCUCAUGUUGCAGUACCUCUAUCUUUGUUUUUAGGAAAAGUUUUU
Small nuclear RNA from Neoarius graeffei (lesser salmon catfish), 199 nucleotides. RefSeq annotates it as U2 spliceosomal RNA. The record is from RefSeq and is a predicted model, not a curated record. The transcript has a single exon. Lineage: Eukaryota; Metazoa; Chordata; Actinopteri; Siluriformes; Ariidae.